GACGAACGCUGGCGGCGUGCUUAACACAUGCAAGUCGAACGGAAAGGCCCUGCUUUUGUGGGGUGCUCGAGUGGCGAACGGGUGAGUAACACGUGAGUAACCUGCCCUUGACUUUGGGAUAACUUCAGGAAACUGGGGCUAAUACCGGAUAGGAGCUCCUGCUGCAUGGUGGGGGUUGGAAAGUUUCGGCGGUUGGGGAUGGACUCGCGGCUUAUCAGCUUGUUGGUGGGGUAGUGGCUUACCAAGGCUUUGACGGGUAGCCGGCCUGAGAGGGUGACCGGCAACAUUGGGACUGGGAUACGGCCCAGACUCCUACGGGAGGCAGCAGUGGGGAAUAUUGCACAAUGGCGGAAGCCUGAUGCAGCAACGCCGCGUGCGGGAUGACGGCCUUCGGGUUGUAAACCGCUUUCGCCUGUGACGAAGCGUGAGUGACGGUAAUGGGUAAAGAAGCACCGGCUAACUACGUG
Molecule: ribosomal RNA, 467 nt
Filed under: uncultured bacterium
Lineage: Bacteria
Description: partial 16S ribosomal RNA
Rfam family: Bacterial small subunit ribosomal RNA
Source: RNAcentral